CUGGUUGCGGCUGUGAAAAGCUGCCUAGACCACGUCUCCAGCAACAGGAUGGAGGAAGGUCCACGGGGAGGGGAGGGACAGAAGUGCCGUGGAGACUCUUGUCCGCUCGGGCUCUUUGAAUCAUGUUUGAUUAUUAUAACCCAAACCAAUGAAUCUUGUUUAACUGGAGGGAAGACAAAGGGACCAAGAAGUGAGAUUUUACUCCAAGUGCGAUGUUGUUGGUGCCAGUAGAUUGUGAAUAGCCACCUGUUGCCAUAUCAAAAAGAGCCACCCUGAAAAUUACAAACAGAAACACCAUCAAUGACUCAAGACAGAAUCCCUAAAUGAUGUUGAAAUAUCACAAAGGAGGAGGAGAUGAUGAAGAGGGAGGACUGAGAAACAGAGGAAACAAACAGAAACCAAACAGUGAAAUGGCAGAGACGAGCACUAACGUCAAAUAGUACACUAAACGUAAGUGGUCUAGAUGUGCCAAUCAGAAGUCACAGACUGCCGAGUGAAUAAAGAAAAUUCUCC
RNAcentral lists this long non-coding RNA (513 nucleotides) under Marmota monax (woodchuck). The record is from RNAcentral. Lineage: Eukaryota; Metazoa; Chordata; Mammalia; Rodentia; Sciuridae.